UUUCAGUGCAAUAUUUGUCUUCAGAUGAGGUACUGCAGAGCUAUUGAAUCAGUUGAAGAAACUUCUUCCUAGCUUUGCAAGUCUGCAUAAAUGUUUUGAUCAAAUGAAGAUCCACUGACUGGAAAAACCAUGACUGAAUGGAAUAAACUCUUUUGCACUUGGACGCUUUUCGAAGUCAGUGGGGGCUGAGUACAUGGAAGGAUAACAAGACCGAGUCCUAACAGCAGAUGCUGUUAACCAUUGUAUGAAAGAGAGGCUUGAGAAAAGACUGUUCUGGGCGACUGAUUGCACAGGGACCAUAUAAAAAAACUUUAUUUUCCAGUAGAGUAAUUUCAUCCCAGA
Molecule: long non-coding RNA, 342 nt
Organism: Mauremys reevesii (Reeves's turtle)
Lineage: Eukaryota; Metazoa; Chordata; Testudines; Geoemydidae
Exons: 3
Source: RefSeq, a predicted model, not a curated record